RNAcentral lists this ribosomal RNA (508 nucleotides) under uncultured bacterium. RNAcentral describes it as "partial 16S ribosomal RNA". It matches the Rfam family "Bacterial small subunit ribosomal RNA", at positions 30 to 523 of the family's 1533-position model. The record is from RNAcentral.
AUUGAACGCUGGCGGCAGGCCUAACACAUGCAAGUCGAGCGGCAGCGGGAAAGUAGCUUGCUACUUUUGCCGGCGAGCGGCGGACGGGUGAGUAAUGCCUGGGAAAUUGCCCAGUCGAGGGGGAUAACAGUUGGAAACGACUGCUAAUACCGCAUACGACCUACGGGGGAAAGCAGGGGACCUUCGGGCCUUGCGCGAUUGGAUAUGCCCAGGUGGGAUUAGCUAGUUGGUGAGGUAAUGGCUCACCAAGGCGACGAUCCCUAGCUGGUCUGAGAGGAUGAUCAGCCACACUGGAACUGAGACACGGUCCAGACUCCUACGGGAGGCAGCAGUGGGGAAUAUUGCACAAUGGGGGAAACCCUGAUGCAGCCAUGCCGCGUGUGUGAAGAAGGCCUUCGGGUUGUAAAGCACUUUCAGCGAGGAGGAAAGGCUGAUGCCUAAUACGCAUCAACUGUGACGUUACUCGCAGAAGAAGCACCGGCUAACUACGUGCCAGCAGCCGCCGUAA